Molecule: ribosomal RNA, 754 nt
Filed under: uncultured Rhodocyclus sp.
Lineage: Bacteria; Pseudomonadati; Pseudomonadota; Betaproteobacteria; Rhodocyclales; Rhodocyclaceae
Description: bacterial SSU rRNA
Rfam family: Bacterial small subunit ribosomal RNA
Source: RNAcentral
AUUGAACGCUGGCGGCAUGCCUUACACAUGCAAGUCGAACGGCAGCACGGGAGCAAUCCUGGUGGCGAGUGGCGAACGGGUGAGUAAUGCAUCGGAACGUGCCCUGCAAGUGGGGGAUAACGUAGCGAAAGUUACGCUAAUACCGCAUAUUCUAGUGAGCAGGAAAGCAGGGGAUCGCAAGACCUUGCGCUUAUGGGAGCGGCCGAUGUCGGAUUAGCUAGUUGGUGGGGUAAAGGCCUACCAAGGCCACGAUCCGUAGCGGGUCUGAGAGUAUGAUCCGCCACACUGGGACUGAGACACGGCCUAGACUCCUACGGGAGGCAGCAGUGGGGAAUUUUGGACAAUGGGCGAAAGCCUGAUCCAGCCAUGCCGCGUGAGUGAAGAAGGCCUUCGGGUUGUAAAGCUCUUUCGGCGGGGAAGAAAUUGCUACCAGGAUAAUACCCUGAGUAGAUCCGACGGUACCCGAAGAAGAAGCACCGGCUAACUACGUGCCAGCAGCCGCGGUAAUACGUAGGGUGCGAGCGUUAAUCGGAAUUACUGGGCGUAAAGCGUGCGCAGGCGGUCUGUGUAAGACAGACGUGAAAUCCUCGGGCUCAACCUGGGAACUGCGUUUGUGACUGCACGACUAGAGUGUGGCAGAGGGGGGUGGAAUUCCACGUGUAGCAGUGAAAUGCGUAGAGAUGUGGAGGAACACCGAUGGCGAAGGCAGCCCCCUGGGCCAAUACUGACGCUCAUGCACGAAAGCGUGGGGAGC